This 497-nucleotide ribosomal RNA is filed under the name uncultured bacterium. Its description in RNAcentral is "partial 16S ribosomal RNA". It matches the Rfam family "Bacterial small subunit ribosomal RNA", at positions 28 to 507 of the family's 1533-position model. The record is from RNAcentral.
GAUGAACGCUGGCGGCGUGCCUAAUACAUGCAAGUCGAGCGAACAGACGAGGAGCUUGCUCCUCUGACGUUAGCGGCGGACGGGUGAGUAACACGUGGAUAACCUACCUAUAAGACUGGGAUAACUUCGGGAAACCGGAGCUAAUACCGGAUAAUAUAUUGAACCGCAUGGUUCAAUAGUGAAAGACGGUUUUGCUGUCACUUAUAGAUGGAUCCGCGCCGCAUUAGCUAGUUGGUAAGGUAACGGCUUACCAAGGCAACGAUGCGUAGCCGACCUGAGAGGGUGAUCGGCCACACCGGAACUGAGACACGGUCCAGACUCCUACGGGAGGCAGCAGUAGGGAAUCUUCCGCAAUGGGCGAAGGCUUGACGGAGCAACGCCGCGUGAGUGAUGAAGGUCUUCGGAUCGUAAAACUCUGUUAUUAGGGAAGAACAAAUGUGUAAGUAACUAUGCACGUCUUGACGGUACCUAAUCAGAAAGCCACGGCUAACUACGUG